Molecule: ribosomal RNA, 446 nt
Filed under: uncultured bacterium
Lineage: Bacteria
Description: partial 16S ribosomal RNA
Rfam family: Bacterial small subunit ribosomal RNA
Source: RNAcentral
CCUACGGGAGGCAGCAGUCGAGAAUCAUUCACAAUGGGGGAAACCCUGAUGGUGCGACGCCGCGUGGGGGAAUGAAGGUCUUCGGAUUGUAACCCCCUGUCAUGUGGGAGCAAAUUAAAAAGAUAGUACCACAAGAGGAAGAGACGGCUAACUUGGUGCCAGCAGCCGCGGUAAUACAGAGGUCUCAAGCGUUGUUCGGAAUCACUGGGCGUAAAGGGUGCGUAGGCUGUUUAGUAAGUCGUUUGUGAAAGGCGCGGGCUCAACCCGCGGACGGCACAUGAUACUGGGAGACUUGAGUGAUGGAGGGGGAAGCGGAAUUCUCGGUGUAGCAGGGAAAUGCGUAGAUAUAGGGAGGAACACUCGUGGCGAAGGCGGGUUCCUGGACAUUAACUGACGCUGAGGCACGAAGGCGAGGGGAGCGAAAGGGAUUAGAUACCCUUGUAGUC